AACGCGAAGAACCUUACCCAGGUUUGACAUGCAGAUGAAUGCGCUAGAAAUAGCGAGGUCCUUCGGGACAUCUGCACAGGUGCUGCAUGGCUGUCGUCAGCUCGUGCCGUGAGGUGUUUGGUUAAGUCCAGCAACGAGCGCAACCCUUAUCAUUAGUUGCCAACAUUUAAGGUGGGAACUCUAGUGAGACUGCCUGGGUUAACCAGGAGGAAGGUGAGGAUGACGUCAAGUCCGCAUGGCCCUUAUGUCUGGGGCUACACACGUGCUACAAUGGUCGGUACAGAAGGCAGCGAAACCGCAAGGCGAAGCAAAUCCCCAAAACCGAUCCCAGUUCAGAUUGUAGUCUGCAACUCGACUACAUGAAGACGGAAUUGCUAGUAAUGGCGAGUCAGCAACAUCGCCGUGAAUACGUUCCCGGGCCUUGUACACACCGGAGUA
This 438-nucleotide ribosomal RNA is filed under the name uncultured bacterium. RNAcentral's name for it is "bacterial SSU rRNA". It matches the Rfam family "Bacterial small subunit ribosomal RNA", at positions 958 to 1398 of the family's 1533-position model. The record is from RNAcentral.